CUACGGGUUGCAGCAGUGGGGAAUAUUGCACAAUGGGCGAAAGCCUGAUGCAGCAACGCCGCGUGAGGGACGACGGCCUUCGGGUUGUAAACCUCUUUUAGCAGGGAAGAAGCGAAAGUGACGGUACCUGCAGAAAAAGCACCGGCUAACUACGUGCCAGCAGCCGCGGUAAUACGUAGGGUGCAAGCGUUGUCCGGAAUUAUUGGGCGUAAAGAGCUCGUAGGCGGGUUGUCGCGUCGGCUGUGAAAAUCCGAGGCUCAACCUCGGACCUGCAGUGGGUACGGGCAAACUAGAGUGCGGUAGGGGAGAUUGGAAUUCCUGGUGUAGCGGUGGAAUGCGCAGAUAUCAGGAGGAACACCAAUGGCGAAGGCAGAUCUCUGGGCCGUAACUGACGCUGAGGAGCGAAAGCGUGGGGAGCGAACAGGAUUAGAUACCCCCGUAGUC
RNAcentral lists this ribosomal RNA (444 nucleotides) under uncultured bacterium. RNAcentral's name for it is "partial 16S ribosomal RNA". It matches the Rfam family "Bacterial small subunit ribosomal RNA", at positions 339 to 795 of the family's 1533-position model. The record is from RNAcentral.